This 253-nucleotide ribosomal RNA is filed under the name Faecalibacterium prausnitzii. RNAcentral's name for it is "partial 16S ribosomal RNA". It matches the Rfam family "Bacterial small subunit ribosomal RNA", at positions 524 to 776 of the family's 1533-position model. The record is from RNAcentral. Lineage: Bacteria; Bacillati; Bacillota; Clostridia; Eubacteriales; Oscillospiraceae.
AACGUAGGUCACAAGCGUUGUCCGGAAUUACUGGGUGUAAAGGGAGCGCAGGCGGAAAGACAAGUUGGAAGUGAAAUCCAUGGGCUCAACCCAUGAACUGCUUUCAAAACUGUUUUUCUUGAGUAGUGCAGAGGUAGGCGGAAUUCCCGGUGUAGCGGUGGAAUGCGUAGAUAUCGGGAGGAACACCAGUGGCGAAGGCGGCCUACUGGGCACCAACUGACGCUGAGGCUCGAAAGUGUGGGUAGCAAACAGG